This 430-nucleotide ribosomal RNA is filed under the name uncultured bacterium. RNAcentral's name for it is "bacterial SSU rRNA". It matches the Rfam family "Bacterial small subunit ribosomal RNA", at positions 85 to 504 of the family's 1533-position model. The record is from RNAcentral.
CUCCCUUAUAGCGGCGGACUGGUGAGUAACGCGUGGGUGACCUACCUUAGGGCUGGGGAUAGCCGCUAGAAAUAGCGGGUAAUACCGAAUACUGUUAUCCGGCUGUGGCCGGGUAAAGAAAGGGGCUUUGGCCCCGCCUUUAGAUGGGCCCGCGAUUCCAUUAGCUAGUUGGUGAGGUAAAGGCCCACCAAGGCGAUGAUGGGUAGCCGGCCUGAGAGGGUGAACGGCACACUGGGACUGAGAUACGGCCCAGACUCCUACGGGAGGCAGCAGCUAAGAAUAUUCCGCAAUGGACGAAAGUCUGACGGAGCGACGCCGCGUGGAUGAAGAAGGCCGAAAGGUUGUAAAGUCCUUUUAUUGCUGAAGAAUAAGCGCAGGAGGGAAUGCCUGUGUGAUGACGUUAGGCAAUGAAUAAGCCCCGGCUAAUUAC